RNAcentral lists this ribosomal RNA (789 nucleotides) under uncultured bacterium. RNAcentral's name for it is "bacterial SSU rRNA". It matches the Rfam family "Bacterial small subunit ribosomal RNA", at positions 8 to 796 of the family's 1533-position model. The record is from RNAcentral.
AGAGUUUGAUCCUGGCUCAGGACGAACGCUGGCGGCGUGCUUAACACAUGCAAGUCGAACGGGAUCCCGGCUUCGGUCGGGUGAGAGUGGCGAACGGGUGAGUAACGCGUAGGCAAUCUGCCCUUCGGUGGGGGAUAGCCCCGGGAAACCGGGAUUAAUACCGCAUGACGCGCCGGGAUCGCAUGGUUCUGGCGUUAAAGAUUUAUUGCCGGGGGAUGAGCCUGCGUUGCAUUAGCUAGUUGGUGAGGUAAUGGCUCACCAAGGCGACGAUGCAUAGCUGGUCUGAGAGGAUGAUCAGCCACACUGGGACUGAGAUACGGCCCAGACUCCUACGGGAGGCAGCAGUGAGGAAUAUUGGACAAUGGGCGCAAGCCUGAUCCAGCAACGCCGCGCGAACGAUGAAGCUGCUCUGCAGUGUAAAGUUCUGUAAGGAGGGACGAGGACCCGGGUAUUGCCCGGGGGGGACGGUACCUCUUAAGUAAGCACCGGCUAACUCCGUGCCAGCAGCCGCGGUAAUACGGGGGGUGCAAGCGUUGUCCGGAUUUAUUGGGCGUAAAGGGCUCGUAGGCGGGAUGGUAAGUCUGGCGUGAAAUCUCCCGGCUCAACCGGGAAGCUGCGCUGGAAACUGCCGUUCUUGAAUUGCGGAGAGGAAGUUGGAAUUCCUGGUGUAGCGGUGGAAUGCGUAGAUAUCAGGAAGAACACCGAUAGCGAAGGCAAACUUCUGGCCGCGGAUUGACGCUGAGGAGCGACAGCGUGGGGAGCGAACAGGAUUAGAUACCCUGGUAGUCC